GCUGUACCACCCAGUCACUUUCUCCUCUGAUCUUUUGGAGUUCUGCUCGCUUUAUUAAAUAAAACGGCCGGACCAAGAGUCAGACCUUGCCUCGGGUUUCUAGGAGGUGGGAUGGAGUGAGGCCGGGCACGCUUCCCGGCUGGGCAAAAUCAGGAAAAGCCCCCCAAGAAAUGAGGGUGUCAGAGACUGAAGCACCCAGGUUGGGGAGGAUCAGAAGGAUUUUGCAUAAAAAUGGGCCGUGACCUCAAUCUCAGGCCCGUUCUGGACUUCAGGGUGCCUGACGCUUCUCUGCAGCUUCCAAAAUCAAGACAAAGCGGGGCACGAGGGGGAAGCAGGGAAGAAGGCGAGCCGUUUCCGAUCCUCCAUCCCACCAAGAAGGGCAGCUGAGAACCUCCGAUCCUAGAGAGGCCUGCCUGAAAAGUAUGGCCCUCUCACCUACCCGACAGAGCUCAUCAGCCCCUGCUAAAGACCCCAACAAGAGCGGGAGCCCUCGGCCUCCCACGGCAGCUCCAUCCCCUUUGGGACACUCUCGCCCCCCCAAUAAGAGCCGAAAUCUGCCUCCGGGGGACUUGUACCUCUGCCUCUGGAAGAUGCUUCAAGUCUGCUGUCUCCCAGCCCAUCCUGUGCCUCAUCCCAAGAAAGACAGGAAGCCAAAAAAGCCCUGCACCGGGGAAACCUGGCUUAGAGGACUUACUUCUUACUGCGAGACUUGGGGCACUGACCUCAGCCUCUUCUGACCUGAUGACCUCAUGCUUCAUAGGACUGGAGAGGAGAGGGAGGAGGCAGCUCGAGGAACGCAGAGAAUUCCUGGAGGGCUGGAGGAGUCUUUGGCCUCUGAGGAAUUUCUCGGUCCAUUCCUUCAGGUCCCAGAAGGCUUCUGGAGUUGACGGCUGAAGGCCGAAGCACAGGGGAGCCGGGGCACUAGACGUGGGGAUGCCCUCAGGACUGUCAUCUGGUUCGGAUGAAGUCGUUUCUGCCUCUCAAGAUGUCAUCAGACCUUCAAAAGAGAGGGGAAAUGUUUCCGGUUAAGAGACCGGUCUUGGAGGGGGAGAGUCCCAAAGGCAGCAGACUGACUUUUUUAUGCAAAUCAAACAACUUUUGGGGGAGUGCUGGCUGGGAUUUUCCAAGAUAUCUAAAACUGUUAAGAACUAAGAUCAAUGGGGAGCAUCAUUAAACUGAAACCGGACUUGGGGUCUCAAGCUUAUUCCUGUACAGCCGCUAGAGUCCUCCUCACCAUGCCAUAAAUUCAGCAUGUUUUGAGGCACUUAAAUUUUUUAAAAAAAAUUAAUUUUAAAAAUCUCUCACCUUCUGCCUUAGCAUCAAUACUGUGCUUUAGUUCCAGGGCAGAAGAGCAAUAAGGGUUAGGCAAUGGGGAUUAAGGGACUUGCCCAGGGUCACACAACUAAGAAGUGUCUGAGGUCACAUUUGAACCCAGGACCUCUUGUCUUUAGGCCUGGCUCUCAAAUAAAGCCACCUAGAUUCCCCUGAGGCACUUUUUAUUCAAUUAUGAAUGGCCUAUUAAGCGUGAUCUUAUAUAGAGACAUGAAAAUAUAGAAUAAGCUUUUAAAAAACCGAAUGAAACUAAAUUUUAAGUGAUUUGGUCAGAUAAACUAUUGUGGUGCCAUGGAAAGAGAAAUCCCUCUGGAGCUGGAGAACCUGGUUCAAAUCUAACUUUGACAUUCCUUGUUUAAACUUAGACAAAUACUUGCAUAAACUUGGAAUGCCUGGGCCUCAGUUUCCUCAUCUGUGAAAUGAGGGGAUUAGGCUAGAUGGCCUCUCAGGUCCUGUCCAGUUCUUAGGAUUCACACAUGUGUGGUCAGAUUUUGGGGGCAGAUAGGACUUUUUAAUGAGUUGUAGAGAAUCUCUUUAACUGUUUUUGUUUAUUUCCACAACUCUUAGGUAAGAGGAAUUAGGCGGAUUUUUCUCUAAACCACGGAUUCGUAAUCUUCGUGGGUGUCCUGGGCUGCUCAGGCAGUGUGGUGAAGCCAAAAUAUUCUUAAACGCACACAAUAAAACACACAAGACUCACAAGGAAAACAAUUAUAUUGAAAUAAAUAAAAUUAAUGAAAUAUUUUCAACAAUGAGUCUUACUUAAGAAUUCCUUCCAUGAAUGUUUUUGACUUUAAAAACAAGCUUAAAAAAAUGUUUUCCCCUCAAAGGAUUGUAGAAUAAGAUUUCACUAGAGCAGUAAAAAGCAUUUUCUUCCAAGUGAGCAAGGCUUUUAUGCCUCUGACCCCGGCUUCUGGCUCUCUGCUAGAUGCCCAAAGCUCACUCGGCUCCGUCCGCCUCGGCAUCUCGUAGAGACCACUAAUAAGCCCUUCUCGGAAUUCUCUGCUGCCCCACCUCCGGGCUCGGGCCCAAGGGGAGGCAGAGAGAUGCUAAAUGAAGGGACGGCGGAAUCAGAGGCCAGACAGGGAGGCUGGGCAGAGAUGCCAGCGAUGGCUGGCAACGCAAAGACAGAGGCAUCCCCCCAAUACCACAGCCUGAAACAACCAGGGCUCGUAUUUCUUUGAAAUACUCUCGCUUCUGAAGCAGGAAAAAAAUGAUAUUUGGACCCACCCAAAGAGUAUCCCUGUCCAGAGAUCCCAAAGAAACAUUUAUUUAUUUUUCAUAGGCUUUCUGGAGAGAUUCCAGCCCAGGGUAGCAUUUCUAUAAUUACUAUGAUCACAUAAUAAGGAAGAGUUUCUUAAUUUUCAGCGCCUUAUGGGAAAGCUUCUUGGGAGGGAAAAAGAGUAUUUUUUAUAUUAAGAUGAGUAAUAUGGAAACUUUAUCCUAUUUCUUCCGACAGUAUAAUGUAGCUUAAAUUAUACAGUACCCUUUCGGCUUUUUAAUCAGAUUAAUUUCGAGGAAUGUCUUUUUCCUAUUUAAGGAGCAUCUGUUCCCGUCUCCUCCUCCCCCCCGUCCUCCAGAACUCGGGCCUCCUUGAGAAUAUUUGAGCCCUCUGACCCUGCCGCCGACACAGUGUUUCCUGACCCAGGAGGCAGCAAUGGAGAGGCACGCUCAAUGCCGAAUCUCGAGGCGCUCUGGGAAGAUGCUUGUCUUGCUUCCAAAGGGAAGGGAUGAAGGAGAUCCGAAACGCGGCAUAUUGGGGUUCAUCUUAACCUGACAGACCGCAGGGGAGGGGGAAAGACUUCAUGAGAGAUGCACAGGAAAAAGGAAGACGUCAAAUGAGACCGACCAUGCUAACAUCCCAGGGUCAGCCUGCCCUUUCAAUACAGCAGGUGCGCGCAUCCCCAGAGCAUCCUCCCUGCCAGCCAUGUGACCUCCCUGGCCCGGGGCAUUAUGGAUCUGCAGGAGCUGAAGGGGUCUGCCUCACCCGGCACCGUUCUGCCAUCUGUAAAAACAAAGGAGGAAGUCCAGACUACGCUAAGGCUCUUAAUCAGCGGAUGGCCUUCUUUGAGAUGACUGGAAUUGGAGGUUUCUGGCUCCCCAUCCGGCCUCCUUUCCUUCAUGCCACCCCGGAUUGAAGCAUUCGAAACAACAUGCUAAGGAACAACAACGGCCCCGUAAGAAUUUUUCAAACAAACCCAUUUAUCCAAGCUGAUGGCAAAAAAUAAAUCAAAAAUAAAAAUC
This is a long non-coding RNA of Monodelphis domestica (gray short-tailed opossum), 3573 nucleotides long. RefSeq lists it as uncharacterized. The record is from RefSeq and is a predicted model, not a curated record. NCBI's taxonomy places the organism in Eukaryota, Metazoa, Chordata, Mammalia, Didelphimorphia, Didelphidae.